UACGUAGGGUGCGAGCGUUAAUCGGAAUUACUGGGCGUAAAGCGCGCGCAGGCGGUGAUGUAAGACAGGUGUGAAAUCCCCGGGCUUAACCUGGGAACUGCAUUUGUGACUGCAUCGCUGGAGUGCGGCAGAGGGGGAUGGAAUUCCGCGUGUAGCAGUGAAAUGCGUAGAUAUGCGGAGGAACACCGAUGGCGAAGGCAAUCCCCUGGGCCUGCACUGACGCUCAUGCGCGAAAGCGUGGGGAGCAAACAGG
Molecule: ribosomal RNA, 253 nt
Filed under: uncultured bacterium
Lineage: Bacteria
Description: partial 16S ribosomal RNA
Rfam family: Bacterial small subunit ribosomal RNA
Source: RNAcentral